Molecule: small nuclear RNA, 116 nt
Filed under: Zootermopsis nevadensis
Lineage: Eukaryota; Metazoa; Arthropoda; Insecta; Blattodea; Termopsidae
Description: U5 spliceosomal RNA
Rfam family: U5 spliceosomal RNA
About the family: U5 RNA is a component of both types of known spliceosome. The precise function of this molecule is unknown, though it is known that the 5' loop is required for splice site selection and p220 binding, and that both the 3' stem-loop and the Sm site are important for Sm protein binding and cap methylation.
Source: Rfam by way of RNAcentral
AUACUCUGGUUUCCCUUCAACACGCAUAAAUCUUUCGCCUUUUACUAAAGAUUUCCGUGGAGGGGAACAUAUGAUGAGUCUUUAAAUUAUUAUUAUUAUUAUUAACUGCAAAUGGG